Arvicola amphibius (Eurasian water vole) is the source of this 347-nucleotide long non-coding RNA. RefSeq lists it as uncharacterized. The record is from RefSeq and is a predicted model, not a curated record. Lineage: Eukaryota; Metazoa; Chordata; Mammalia; Rodentia; Cricetidae. The transcript has 3 exons.
GAGGAUCCCAGAGCUGCCGAUACUGAACAACUUGGACUCUGCAGCACAUGCUGGACUCUCCGUGCGGGUAGAGUGAUGAGCUCUGUACAUCAGGAGACACCGCGUGGAGAUUGCAAGUGUGGCCUGAGACUCAGAAGCAGGAGCAUUGGAGGAAUUCCAGAUGGCAGGGUGCCCACCUACCCAGCAUAAAGGGUCUCUGUCCAGCAGGAGAGGAGGAAAGUGACCUUCGGCUGGAGGAAAAUGGGCAUCACUUUGGAAUGCUGGAACUUUGCUCCUCUUUGGAAGUGAGUAGGGCUUCCCUAGCCUAGGACAUAGGGUCCAGAGGUGAGGCCAGCACUCUCACAUCU